CUUGUGCAGCAGAGCUACUACGACGAUUCCAGCACGCACCCAAAGCCGAUGGAUCUCUUAGCUUUUUGGUUCUUGGAGAUUGGGGAAGAAGAGGAGCCUUCAAUCAAUCUCAAGUUGCUCUUCAGAUGGGAAUAAUUG
Prunus dulcis (almond) is the source of this 138-nucleotide long non-coding RNA. RefSeq lists it as uncharacterized. The transcript has 3 exons. The record is from RefSeq and is a predicted model, not a curated record. Lineage: Eukaryota; Viridiplantae; Streptophyta; Magnoliopsida; Rosales; Rosaceae.